GCAAGUUCUGACUCCACAGACUCAUGUUCUUGUCCUCAAGGCUUCCUUCUUCCGCCUCUGUUUUUGUGUCACCCCUGACGCCACUCUUUUCCCUCUGCCUCUGUCUCAUGUCAGCCCCGAGGUCUCAUCCUGGCCAACUGCGCUCGGGAACAGAAGCGGAGGACCUGCGUCAGUCAGCCCGAACCUGUCCUUCUCCACCGGACACUCGCCAAAAGCAAGUUGUAUUCACAGUUUUACGAUUUUUUAAAACAUGGAUUUCAUGGUCGUUGGUGCUGGGUUACAAGAAAGAGCUCAGUGGACUAGGAGAGAAAGUGAUGAAAAUGGUGGGACAGGACCAUCAAGUGAAACUCAUGCCAGCAGGAGGUCUGGUGAGGCGGUGGGAAGAGGAAAUCCCCUGCUGGCUGUGCUGCCUGUUCACCGGGGCCGGGAAGAGUUGCCGCCAGCCUCCCCAGUUCCACCUGCAACUCGGGGAAGGAAGCAUUCGUUCUCCGGAAUAACACAGAUGAUGUUUACCAAAAUUGGGUUGCUGACCCCAGUACAUAGCUCUGCUCCUGCCACCCGACUACGCUUCCUCUGCUUGGACUUGACCUCCCGGGAGCAAGGCUGGCACAACAGUGAGGGCACCACCAGUGUGGAGUCCCUGGAGCCAUGCCCUCAGAUUGGAAAAAGCCUCAGGGAACGGCUGGCGACAGUGGACGGAGUCUCUCCUGGCUUCUUGGUCCUGCACCUCUGCGUCUCCCAGUUCCCCUGCAGUGAAAAGGCCUUGAGAGCUGUUGUGGGCAGUCCCUCCUGCUGGUUGUCAGGCACGAGGAGCAGCCCGAGUUCUUGCAGGAGGCAGGAACAGCCUUUGAAGUGGGAGAGCUGACGACAGCGUUUCAGGUCCCCCAGUUUUCUACCAUUAAAGCCACUGGCAAAUCAGCCCAUGGUUGUGGAUUGAAGUUUUAUUGCAAAAUAAUUGACACCUGUCACUGUGUAAGUUGAAGGCACCAAGCAUGAUGAUUUUAUUUACGUACAUCGUGAAAUGAUUCCCACAGUAGAUUCAACCAACAUCCAUCAUCUCAUGCAGACACAAUAAGAAGAGAAGAAAGAAAAAAGAAGAAAGGAAAAUAUUUUUCUCCUUUGAUGAGGACUCUUAGGAUCCACUCGUCGAGCUUUCCCGUGUGUCGCACAGCAGCGCUGACCUGGGUCGUCGUGUGGCACAUUCCGACCCGGGACGUAGUGUCUGUAACAGGAAGUCUGUACCUUUGCCCACCUGCCUCCACGUCCCUCCCCACCCUCUGCUCUGGUGACCACAAGUCGGAUCUCUUUCUCUAUGAGUUUCGUUGGUUUUUUUAGAUCCCAUCUGUGAGUGAGGUCAUACGGUAUUUGUCUUUCUCUCUGUAUUUCUUUCUAAAUCAAAUCCUAUCUCCUUUUAUCUUUCAGAGAUUUCUCUAAUAUUUGCUGAUCACAUUCUUUUUCAUUUGUCAUUACAUCAUAAAUUUAUUCUUGUUUUAUUGAACCUUUCCUAUCAUUUCAAGGAUGUGGUAGUAGGAGGAGUCAAGAAUAGGCGAGCUAAGUCGGCCCUUUUAAGAUCAGAUCCAAACCACUCUGGACUUCAGGCCAAUGAGGAGUUCCCAGAUUAUUCCUUCUGAUUGGCCCAGAAUUUGUGUUGAGACUUUUAGGUUCUGAACAAGUUAAAAGUCGAUUCCUAUGAAGAAGGCUAUCAUUGCUAUCAUUGUCUUUUUUUCUUUUAACAAAUUUCAGGAUUUUAUUUAAGUUUAUUUCGAAAAUAAAUCUAUUACCCUUAUCCUCUACUCUCUGAAAAGUUUCAUAGAAUAUUAAUUAUAUGUGUCAAUCAACUUAGAAUACUUAGUUUUAUUCUCUAUAUAUUUUUCCUCACAACUCUAUAGUAGAAAAGAAAUAAAGCUUAAUAUCUUAUAUCCUUCUUGUUACUCUCUGUUACAUUUUAAGAAUCUGAUUAAUAAAAUUUCAAUACAUUCAAUUCUUUUGAUGUCUAGACCACUAGGUCUGGGAGUUGCCUGGCCCGGCCGUCGGCGCCUCCCCUCCUGAGCAUGAGCAGCUCUGACAGACGGACCAGACCUCGUCUCCUGUCCUCACUCUUCUCACAAAGACUUUUCAAGGUCAUGGUUUUGCGUGUCCCAGGACCAUGCAGGGUCAGAGUCCAGGAAGUGGUUCAAAAAGGAUGGAGGCGUUAAGAUAAAAUAUCUGUGGUUUGAAGGCCUGCUCGAGUCUAAUCUUUAGGAACAUGUAACCUCUUCACAUUUUAAAGUAACUGGGCUUUUCAUGUAUUACCCUUCAUAUGCAGUCAUGUGCCGCAUAACAUUUUGGUCAACGACAGACUGUAUUCAACGGUGGUCCCAUAAGAUUAGCACCAUAGAGCCCAGAUGUGUGGGAGUUUAUACCAUCUAGGCUCAUGUAUGUACACGCUACAAUGUACACACAAGGACAAAAUCACCUGACGAUGGGUUUCCCAGAACGUGUCCCCAUCAAGUGGCGCAUGACUGUAUUUACAUUUGUUACAUUCUUGAGAUCAUAAUUUUGUACCAUUUUGAAAAUUGUCAUUUUCAUUCUUUUACUGAACAUAUUCCAUGUUUUUAUAAAGUCCUGUAUCUGUGGGCAAUAACUAAAUAAAGG
This is a long non-coding RNA of Equus caballus (horse), 2634 nucleotides long. NCBI's taxonomy places the organism in Eukaryota, Metazoa, Chordata, Mammalia, Perissodactyla, Equidae. The record is from Ensembl.